CAGCAGCCGCGGGAAUACAGAGGGUGCGAGCGUUAAUCGGAUUUACUGGGCGUAAAGCGUGCGUAGGCGGCUUUUUAAGUCGGAUGUGAAAUCCCUGAGCUUAACUUAGGAAUUGCAUUCGAUACUGGGAAGCUAGAGUAUGGGAGAGGAUGGUAGAAUUCCAGGUGUAGCGGUGAAAUGCGUAGAGAUCUGGAGGAAUACCGAUGGCGAAGGCAGCCAUCUGGCCUAAUACUGACGCCGAGGUACGAAAGCAUGGGGAGCAAACAGGAUUAGAUACCCCGGUAGUCCCUGUCUCUUAUAC
This 301-nucleotide ribosomal RNA is filed under the name uncultured bacterium. RNAcentral's name for it is "partial 16S ribosomal RNA". It matches the Rfam family "Bacterial small subunit ribosomal RNA", at positions 509 to 807 of the family's 1533-position model. The record is from RNAcentral.